RNAcentral lists this ribosomal RNA (432 nucleotides) under uncultured bacterium. Its description in RNAcentral is "partial 16S ribosomal RNA". It matches the Rfam family "Bacterial small subunit ribosomal RNA", at positions 29 to 506 of the family's 1533-position model. The record is from RNAcentral.
AACGAACGCUGGCGGCAUGCCUAACACAUGCAAGUCGAACGAGACCUUCGGGAGUAGUUGCGCACGGGUGCGUAACGCGUGGGAACCUGCCCUUAGGUUCGGAAUAACUCCCCGAAGGGGGUGCUAAUACCGGAUAAUGUCUUCGGACCAAAGAUUUAUCGCCUUUGGAUGGGCCCGCGUUGGAUUAGCUAGUUGGUAGGGUAAAAGCCUACCAAGGCGACGAUCCAUAGCUGGUCUGAGAGGAUGAUCAGCCACACUGGGACUGAGACACGGCCCAGACUCCUACGGGAGGCAGCAGUGGGGAAUAUUGGACAAUGGGCGAGAGCCUGAUCCAGCAAUGCCGCGUGAGUGAUGAAGGCCGUAGGGAUGUAAAGCUCUUUUACCCGCGAUGAUAAUGACAGUACCGGGAGAAUAAGCUCCGGCAAACUCCGU